This is a long non-coding RNA of Oncorhynchus keta (chum salmon), 1209 nucleotides long. RefSeq lists it as uncharacterized. The record is from RefSeq and is a predicted model, not a curated record. Lineage: Eukaryota; Metazoa; Chordata; Actinopteri; Salmoniformes; Salmonidae. The transcript has 3 exons.
GGGACAGAGCCUGAGGUAGAGAGGCAGUGAGAGUGGGACAGAGCCUGAGGUAGAGAGGCAGUGAGAGUGGGACAGAGGGUGAGGUAGAGAGGCAGUGAGAGUGGGACAGAGGGUGAGGUAGAGAGGCAGUGAGAGUGGGACAGAGGGUGAGGUAGAGAGGCAGUGAGAGUGGGACAGAGGGUGAGGUAGAGAGGCAGUGAGAGUGGGACAGAGGGUGAGGUAGAGAGGCAGUGAGAGUGGGACAGAGGGUGAGGUAGAGAGGCAGUGAGAGUGGGACAGAGGGUGAGGUAGAGAGGCAGUGAGAGUGGGACAGAGGGUGAGGUAGAGAGGCAGUGAGAGUGGGACAGAGGGUGAGGUAGAGAGGCAGUGAGAGUGGGACAGAGCCUGAGGUAGAGAGGCAGUGAGAGUGGGACAGAGGGUGAGGUAGAGAGGCAGUGAGAGUGGGACAGAGCCUGAGGUAGAGAGGCAGUGAGAGUGGGACAGAGGGUGAGGUAGAGAGGCAGUGAGAGUGGGACAGAGGGUGGGAGAGAGGCAGUGAGAGUGGGACAGAGGGUGGGAGAUGCAAGAGUUUGUGUCGUCUUUCUCAUAUUUCUUGCCUCUCCACACAUUUAACUCUCCACAAAUAUUAGAGUGUAGCUUUCCAGGAAAAAGGGAAGAAAAGGGAGAGAGGGAAGGAGGAGGUUGGGACUCUUACUGGAAACUUCCAGGCUGCUGUGAUUGCCAGGUAGAACUGUGAGCCAAGAGGGUGAAGAACUGGGUCUCCUCACUCUCCUAAAGACACUCUCAUGAAUAACUACACCAACUCCACGCAUCCGCUGCUCCUCGGGAACCUUCGCCAGCUGAAUCAGGUGUCUUAGAGCUGAAUCAAAAGCCUGCAUACCUAGUAUCCCCUGCAGGAGGACGGCUGCUAGAGUUCAGAAAAUGGUUUCAGCAGUUAGACAUGUUUUUCUUUCCUGUGGGAAACCUGGGGGAGUGUUUCUCUGUGUUCUUUGCUCCACUGAGGACUGUAGUGUAAUAGGAGAUCAGGGAAUAAUAGGGACAGAUAUGUUAUCCUGAUGUCUGUCCGCACAGUCAUACCGGAGUUGUUACUGUUCCGUCGGUAGGAAGGCCUGAUUCGGGGUUACAGUAAUAUGCACCGUGACCGUAGACCGGACCUUCCAUUCAUGUCUAUCAGCCUCUAUCUACAAUACACUUCCUUUCACCUGACUC